Non-coding RNA from Stegodyphus mimosarum, 73 nucleotides. The record is from Rfam. Lineage: Eukaryota; Metazoa; Arthropoda; Arachnida; Araneae; Eresidae.
GCCUUCGUGGUGUAGUGGUCAACACGCUGGACACGUGUUCGAGAGGUCUGUGGUUCGAAUCCCGGCGAGGGGA